AGGCCUUACACAUGCAAGUCGAGGGGUAGAAUGUCUUCGGAUAUUUGAGACCGGCGCACGGGUGCGUAACACGUAUGCAACCUGCCUUUUACUGGGGAAUAGCCCGAAGAAAUUCGGAUUAAUGCCCCAUAUGCUCGCACAAUCGCAUGAUUGAGCGAGGAAAGCUCCGGCGGUAAAAGAUGGGCAUGCGUCCUAUUAGCUUGUUGGUGAGGUAAUGGCUCACCAAGGCUACGAUAGGUAGGGGACCUGAGAGGGUGAACCCCCACACUGGUACUGAGACACGGACCAGACUCCUACGGGAGGCAGCAGUGAGGAAUAUUGGGCAAUGGAGGAAACUCUGACCCAGCCAUGCCGCGUGCAGGAAGACGGCCCUCUGGGUUGUAAACUGCUUUUAUAUGGGAAUAAACCCUUCCACGUGUGGAAGGCUGAAGGUACCAUAAGAAUAAGGAUCGGCUAACUCCGUGCCAGCAGCCGCGGUAAUACGGAGGAUCCAAGCGUUAUCCGGAUUUAUUGGGUUUAAAGGGUCCGUAGGCGGGUCUUUAAGUCAGUGGUGAAAGCCUGCAGCUUAACUGUAGAAUUGCCAUUGAUACUGAAGACCUUGAGUGUAGUAGAAGUAGGCGGAAUAUGGCAUGUAGCGGUGAAAUGCAUAGAUAUGCCAUAGAACACCGAUUGCGAAGGCAGCUUACUAUGUUACAACUGACGCUGAGGGACGAAAGCGUGGGUAGCAAACAGGAUUAGAUACCCUGGUAGUCCACGCCGUAAACGAUGAUUACUCGCUGUUAGCGAUAUACAGUUAGCGGCCAAGCGAAAGCAUUAAGUAAUCCACCUGGGGAG
RNAcentral lists this ribosomal RNA (834 nucleotides) under uncultured Bacteroidota bacterium. Its description in RNAcentral is "bacterial SSU rRNA". It matches the Rfam family "Bacterial small subunit ribosomal RNA", at positions 44 to 880 of the family's 1533-position model. The record is from RNAcentral. Lineage: Bacteria; Pseudomonadati; Bacteroidota.